RNAcentral lists this small RNA (621 nucleotides) under Inocybe sp. SB87. RNAcentral's name for it is "eukaryotic LSU rRNA". The stretch from base 242 to 395 matches the Rfam family "5.8S ribosomal RNA". The record is from RNAcentral. Lineage: Eukaryota; Fungi; Basidiomycota; Agaricomycetes; Agaricales; Inocybaceae.
UGCGGAGGAUCAUUAUCGAAUAAACAUUUGAUAGGCUGUUGCUGGCCCUUCUAAGGGUAGUGUGCACGCUUGUCAUUUAUUUAUUUAUUUUUUUCCACCUGUGCACUCUUUUUGUAGACCUAGAGAAAGCAAAUUGUCUUGAGCAAUCAGGAUGUCUCUUCUAGGUUCUAUGUUACUCACAUACUCCUACGAAUGUAAUAGAAUGUUGAUCUGGGUCUUUGAUGCCCAUAAAGUUAUAUACAACUUUCAGCAAUGGAUCUCUUGGCUCUCGCAUCGAUGAAGAACGCAGCGAAAUGCGAUAAGUAAUGUGAAUUGCAGAAUUCAGUGAAUCAUCGAAUCUUUGAACGCAUCUUGCGCUCCUUGGUAUUCUGAGGAGCAUGCCUGUUUGAGUGUCAUUAAAUUCUCAACCACACACCUGGUGUGGCUUGGAUUUGGGUUGUUGUGGGCUUUUUUUUUGUAGUCUGCUCCCCUGAAAUUAAUUAGCGGUACCUUGGUGGAACUGUCUACAGGUGUGAUAAUUAUCUACAUCCUAGACAUCUGCUGGAAUGCUGCUUUCUAAACCCUUACUUGACAAUCUUGACCUCAAAUCAGGUAGGACUACCCGCUGAACUUAAGCAUAUC